AACGAACGCUGGCGGCGUGCCUAACACAUGCAAGUCGAGCGCGAAUGGAGCAAUCCUAGUAGCGCGGCGCACGGGUGCGUAACACGUGGGUAAUCUGCCUGGGAGACCGGAAUAACCUGCCGAAAGGCUGGCUAAUACCGGAUAAGCCCACGGACUCUUCGGAGUCUGAGGGAAAAGGUGGCCUCUGUAUACAAGCUAUCACUUCCAGAUGAGCCCGCGGCCCANCAGCUCGUUGGCGGGGUAAAGGCCCACCAAGGCAACGACGGGUAGCUGGUCUGAGAGGACGAUCAGCCACACUGGAACUGAGACACGGUCCAGACUCCUACGGAGGCAGCAGUGGGGAAUUUUGCACAAUGGGCGAAAGCCUGAUGCAGCAACGCCGCGUGUGUGAUGAAGGUCUUCGGAUCGUAAAGCACUUUCGACCGGGACGAAACCCGUUGCUAACAUCCAACGGCUUGACGGUACCGGGAGAAGAAGCACCGGCUAACUCUGUGCCA
RNAcentral lists this ribosomal RNA (497 nucleotides) under uncultured bacterium. RNAcentral's name for it is "bacterial SSU rRNA". It matches the Rfam family "Bacterial small subunit ribosomal RNA", at positions 29 to 510 of the family's 1533-position model. The record is from RNAcentral.